RNAcentral lists this ribosomal RNA (467 nucleotides) under uncultured bacterium. Its description in RNAcentral is "partial 16S ribosomal RNA". It matches the Rfam family "Bacterial small subunit ribosomal RNA", at positions 28 to 507 of the family's 1533-position model. The record is from RNAcentral.
GACGAACGCUGGCGGCGUGCUUAACACAUGCAAGUCGAACGGAAAGGCCUCUUUCGGGGGGUACUCGAGUGGCGAACGGGUGAGUAACACGUGAGUAACCUGCCCUUGACUUUGGGAUAACUUCAGGAAACUGGGGCUAAUACCGGAUAGGAGCUCCUGCUGCAUGGUGGGGGUUGGAAAGUUUCGGCGGUUGGGGAUGGACUCGCGGCUUAUCAGCUUGUUGGUGGGGUAGUGGCUUACCAAGGCUUUGUCGGGUAGCCGGCCUGAGAGGGUGACCGGCCAAAUUGGGACUGAGAUACGGCCCAGACUCCUACGGGAGGGAGGAGGGGGGAAGAUUGCACAAUGGGUGGGAGCCUGAUGCAGCAACGCCGUGUGCGGGAUGACGGCCUUCGGGUUGUAAACCGCUUUCGCUCAUGACGAAGCUUUGUGUGACGGUAGUGGGUAAAGAAGCACCGGCUAACUACGUG